AUUGCUUUGGCAGAUAAGUGCAACGGAUUUAGAAUUCGUGUAUGUAGAAAUUUAAUUCUAUAAGUAAUA
RNAcentral lists this transfer RNA (69 nucleotides) under Eupolyphaga sp. NS-2016. RNAcentral's name for it is "tRNA-Leu". The record is from RNAcentral. Lineage: Eukaryota; Metazoa; Arthropoda; Insecta; Blattodea; Corydiidae.